Myotis lucifugus (little brown bat) is the source of this 75-nucleotide non-coding RNA. NCBI's taxonomy places the organism in Eukaryota, Metazoa, Chordata, Mammalia, Chiroptera, Vespertilionidae. The record is from Rfam.
GAGACACCCCUCCAGGCAAGACUUGCUUCAGUGGGGCUUUGGUGCUCACUGAGUCUGCCCCCUGAGUGUGUCCCA